Molecule: long non-coding RNA, 2699 nt
Organism: Magnolia sinica
Lineage: Eukaryota; Viridiplantae; Streptophyta; Magnoliopsida; Magnoliales; Magnoliaceae
Exons: 12
Source: RefSeq, a predicted model, not a curated record
AAAGCGAGAAGAAAAAACUAAGGAAAUGAAAGAAAAUCCUCAGAGUGAGAAAUCAAAUGGCGUCUGCUUCCUUCUCCCAUUUCUCUACUUUCAGAGGUCCCGAAAAAAUCCCCAAAUCCAAAACUCUAAUUUCCAGCUCCAGAUCUCAUUCAUAUCCGUUGCUGGUCUCAUCUCCCUUCACUCACCUUCGAUCUCAUCAUCAUCACCCGAUCUCUAAAAGCUUAUCUGCAUCGGUCUCCACGUAGCAGCAGAUCCGCACGAGCUCGGACGAUCUUGUUUUUUCGAUUCUUUCCAAGUUCUUAGAGCUUGUGGAGGCAAGCCGUGUGGCCAAGGAAGUCAAGCACCCAUUCAGGAACCUCCUUAAGCAACGCAACCGCCUGUAGCUGAUUAUUGCUGUGGUUAUGCUGGUCAGCCUCCCUCACAAGUCUCUGCCUUAAGUAUAAAACACCCAUAACAAAUGACAAAACGGGUCAUUUUCAUAGCCAUUGUGGGCAUUUCGUAAUAACCUGCAUGACCACAGAUAAUCAUACAAUGAUUAACAGGGUGGGCUGCAGGCUGCUCUUGCUGGAAGCCUAAUUUACAAUUUCGACAAUAGAGUUGGCUACCGAAAGUUCAGAUGAGAAUGCAAACGAGCGAUCAGAGAGGGUUUUUCAGAUGACUGAAAUUGAUGAUAUGCAGGCCCCUCGUGACCUUUCGCUUGCACAAUUUUUAUCAAGGGAAAAGCCAAUUUUCACAGGAAAGAGCUCUCUCAGCUUUGGAGGAUGCUGGCCCUUUUAGAAUCAGCAGCUUGAUCAAGGACAAAGGGUUUCUUUUCUUGGUGUCUAGGCCAAAAUGGGUAUGACAGAAGAGUUUGAAGCUUCUUUACAAGUACUAUGGGGAUUUGAUACUGACAUUUCUUUUGAAGUGAAUGAAAUCAAGAGAUCUGUAACUUCCACAAGCAGGAGAAAAACUAUCUGAUUUUCUGAUCUCAAGCAAAGAAGAUAUUAGUUUCCUCUAAUGUUGUUGCUUUAAUGGCUAUAAAGAACGAACUGAAUGACCCGCAUAAUGUAUUGGAGAACUGGGAUAUCAAUUCAAUUGAUCCUCGUGGCUGGAGGAUGGUUACAUUUUCUUCUGAUGGCUAUGUCUCAGUUCUAACAAUUCUUCUAUGUUUGGGUGCAUGGCGAUUGGAUCUGAAAAUUUGAGAUUUUCAUUCAUUUAUUUCAUGGCUUUCAGCAUUGGAAUUGGGAUGGUGCAGUUGGAUAACUAUUACAAAGAACUUGAGGAAUGGAGGACAUAAGUCCUUCGUUUUGCUGCAUCCAUAUGUUAAUUUAUGAACUCUGUGGAGAAUGUCAGGUGCACUGAAUGCAGCUGUCUGUAGAUAAUUUCAACAUUAGUCAUUGUCUAUAGAGUCCAUAAAAAUGCAGCUGUCCAUAUUUUCAAAGAAUUGCAGAUGUAGAUAAUUUCCAGUUUUGCUUCUUGUACUUUGAUCAGCGAACUGAGGCAAAAUAUUUAUUUCUCGAGAUGAACUUUUAGUACUCUACUGAACCUGGUAUUUUUGUGUAUUUUUCAGAUCAUAUCAAUACCCUGUCUUUCAUUGAAAGUGUAAGGGUAUUGUAUUGACAUGAGAAAGUCCCAUUAGGUUUUAAAUAUUCACCAAUAUUCUGACUGACCUGUCGAGAAUUAUCCAUGUAGCCCUUAAUUUCUUGGCAAUGUCCAAAGCAACUAUCUUCAGUGAAUAUACACUAUAAUUCUGAUGUCAUAAUCUAGUUUGCCAAACUCAAUUUAUGGAUCUGACAGGAUUCAAAUCCAAGCUGCCAAACUCAAUUUAUGGAUCUCAAUGCAGAUGUCUUAUGGGCCACAGAUUUUGGCGAUGUUGUUUUAUUAAACGUAAGGCGUGUUUGGAUGCAAGGCAUGCUCAGUUGAAUUGAACUAAAGGAAACAAAGAAAAAUGGAAAAAAACAAUCUUGAAUCAGACACUUCAUUCUCUGUGAAUUGUGGUGGCACAGAACAAACAUCUGCAUCCGGCAUUGAUUUCUACGGUGACUCAGAAAUUUUGGGACCUUCAUCAUUGUACACCAGCUCCCAACAUCAAUGGGCAGUAAGCAACACAGGCUUUUACAUCUCCAACCCCAAUGGCCCUCAAUACAUAGCAACGACAGAUUCUCAAAUCCUGGGGACUUUAGAGUGAGAACUAUAUAAAAUAGCAAGGAUUUCACCAAGCUCAUUAACGUACCAUGGCCUUGGUUUGAAGAAUGGGAAAUACAUCGUCAAACUCCACUUUGCAGUGAUAGUCAUGGAUGAUUCAGUCUUGGAAAGGUCUUGGGAGGCGCAUAUUUGAUGUCUACAUCCAGACAAAGCCAUGGAGAUCCACUUCUUUUGGGCUGGAAAAGGGACCUGCUGUAUUUCAUUUCAAGCAACUUUCAGGCCGCUAGUGUCAGCCAUACAUGUUUCUCUAGAGUCCUCUAGUGGUGGUUCGCGCUCAAAUAAUUACAGAAGACGCACAAGAGAAGUUAUCGGUAUAGCUAUCGGAUGUGCAGGUGGACUACUGAUACUCGCAUCCAUUUUCUAUCUAUAGUGGAUGAAGGAUGCACCUGACCAUACGCGAGUGCGCACAGACUCACCAAGAAAAGGAUGAUGACCUUUCUUUAUAUUUUUAGCACUAUUGUAAUUGUAAUUGUAAUUGAUUGAAUGAAGGAUUGUAAUUGAUUCAUUAUUGAAUG